RNAcentral lists this long non-coding RNA (248 nucleotides) under Nicotiana tabacum (common tobacco). RNAcentral's name for it is "long non-coding RNA (NTAB_LNC008969)". The record is from RNAcentral. Lineage: Eukaryota; Viridiplantae; Streptophyta; Magnoliopsida; Solanales; Solanaceae.
GCAAAGCGAGCGAAGGAGAGAGCAUGGCGGGUCUUGCCGACGACUUGGAGAAUUGCGUUCUCCAGCUCAUGUAAACCGUCAGAAACGACUUGUCUGAUCGGAUUCUCAUCGGCAAAGGUCGCCGGUCCGGCGAGUGCGGAGGCGAAAAGGCCACCGGCGACGACGAGAGCCAAUAGGAGUGAGAAACGAGACAUUAUAAUCUCCUCUCAGAGAAUGUGGGGAAGGGAAUUAUACGGAUUGGAUGAUUG